UGGGGAAUAUUGGACAAUGGGCGGAAGCCUGAUCCAGCAAUACCGCGUGUGUGAAGAAGGCCUUAGGGUUGUAAAGCACUUUCAAUAGGGAGGAACACCUGACGGUUAAUACCCGUCAGCUUGACAUUACCUAUACAAGAAGCACCGGCUAACUCCGUGCCAGCAGCCGCGGUAAUACGGAGGGUGCAAGCGUUAAUCGGAAUUACUGGGCGUAAAGCGUGCGUAGGUGGUUCAUUAAGUCAGAUGUGAAAGCCCUGGGCUUAACCUGGGAACGGCAUUUGAAACUGGAGGACUAGAGUUGAGUAGAGGGGAGUGGAAUUUCAGGUGUAGCGGUGAAAUGCGUAGAUAUCUGAAGGAACACCAGUGGCGAAGGCGACUCCCUGGACUCAAACUGACGCUG
RNAcentral lists this ribosomal RNA (400 nucleotides) under uncultured bacterium. RNAcentral's name for it is "bacterial SSU rRNA". It matches the Rfam family "Bacterial small subunit ribosomal RNA", at positions 355 to 748 of the family's 1533-position model. The record is from RNAcentral.